UAUUAACAUGAUAAGCACAAAUACAUAAAAGAUAUACACCCAACCUCAAUAAAGAAACAGAUAGCAUAUGCUGCAGACCUUUUUGUUGAAAUUUUUUUUUCUGCAUAAGCCAAAAGAAUCUGCAAUAAAAGCAACUAAAACAAAUCAGUUUUGGGGAAGUAAACAAUUAAAACAUUAAGUAAGAAUGACUUCCCAAUAGUGCAAUAGCCUCUAGUCCUUCAAAAUGCAUCUACAAAAGAAAAAAUUCAACAAUGUCAAAAUUGAAUUUGAGGGAUAUUUAAAACAAAACAAAAAUAAUGCAAAUAGAAUAAACUUAAUAAAAACAAAAUAAAGAAACUUGGGGUGCCUCCCAAGAGCG
Molecule: unclassified non-coding RNA, 358 nt
Filed under: Hevea brasiliensis (rubber tree)
Lineage: Eukaryota; Viridiplantae; Streptophyta; Magnoliopsida; Malpighiales; Euphorbiaceae
Source: RNAcentral